CGGACGGGUGAGUAAUGCUUGGGAAUCUGGCUUAUGGAGGGGGAUAACUACGGGAAACUGUAGCUAAUACCGCGUAAUAUCUUCGGAUUAAAGGGUGGGACUUUCGGGCCACCUGCCAUAAGAUGAGCCCAAGUGGGAUUAGGUAGUUGGUGGGGUAAAGGCCUACCAAGCCGACGAUCUCUAGCUGGUCUGAGAGGAUGACCAGCCACACUGGAACUGAGACACGGUCCAGACUCCUACGGGAGGCAGCAGUGGGGAAUAUUGCACAAUGGGGGGGACCCUGAUGCAGCCAUGCCGCGUGAAUGAAGAAGGCCUUCGGGUUGUAAAGUUCUUUCGGUGAUGAGGAAGGUGUUUGUUUUAAUAGAACAAGCAAUUGACGUUAGUCACAGAGGAAGCACCGGCUAACUCCGUGCCAGCAGCCGCGGUAAUACGGAGGGUGCGAGCGUUAAUCGGAAUGACUGGGCGUAAAGGGCACGCAGGCGGUGACUUAAGUGAGAUGUGAAAGCCCCGAGCUUAACUUGGGAAUUGCAUUUCAUACUGGGUCGCUAGAGUAUUUUAGGGAGGGGUAGAAUUCCACGUGUAGCGGUGAAAUGCGUAGAGAUGUGGAGGAAUACCGAAGGCGAAGGCAGCCCCUUGGGAAUAUACUGACGCUCAUGUGCGAAAGCGUGGGGAGCAAACAGGAUUAGAUACCCUGGUAGUCCACGCUGUAAACGCUGUCGAUUUGG
RNAcentral lists this ribosomal RNA (725 nucleotides) under uncultured Actinobacillus sp. RNAcentral's name for it is "bacterial SSU rRNA". It matches the Rfam family "Bacterial small subunit ribosomal RNA", at positions 99 to 820 of the family's 1533-position model. The record is from RNAcentral. Lineage: Bacteria; Pseudomonadati; Pseudomonadota; Gammaproteobacteria; Pasteurellales; Pasteurellaceae.